RNAcentral lists this ribosomal RNA (532 nucleotides) under Eubacterium sp. BL22. RNAcentral's name for it is "bacterial SSU rRNA". It matches the Rfam family "Bacterial small subunit ribosomal RNA", at positions 8 to 521 of the family's 1533-position model. The record is from RNAcentral. Lineage: Bacteria; Bacillati; Bacillota; Clostridia; Eubacteriales; Eubacteriaceae.
AGAGUUUGAUCCUGGCUCAGGAUGAACGCUGGCGGCAUGCCUAAUACAUGCAAGUCGAACGGACCGAAGGGAAAGCUUGCUUUCCUUGAAGUCAGUGGCGAACGGGUGAGUAACACGUAGGUAACCUGCCCAUGUGCCCGGGACAACGCCUGGAAACGGGUGCUAAAACCGGAUAGGUAGAGAGAUCGCAUGAACUUUCUAUUAAAGGGGCUACGGCCCUGAACAUGGAUGGACCUGCGGUGCAUUAGCUAGUUGGUGAGGUAACGGCCCACCAAGGCGACGAUGCAUAGCCGACCUGAGAGGGCGAACGGCCACAUUGGGACUGAGACACGGCCCAAACUCCUACGGGAGGCAGCAGUAGGGAAUUUUCGUCAAUGGGGGGAACCCUGAACGAGCAAUGCCGCGUGAGUGAAGACGGUCUUCGGAUUGUAAAGCUCUGUUGCGAGAGAAAAACGACACGGAUAGGGAAUGAUCCGUGGGUGAUGGUAUCUCGCCAGAAAGUCACGGCUAACUACGUGCCAGCAGCCGCGGU